Molecule: ribosomal RNA, 253 nt
Filed under: uncultured bacterium
Lineage: Bacteria
Description: partial 16S ribosomal RNA
Rfam family: Bacterial small subunit ribosomal RNA
Source: RNAcentral
UACAGGGGGCGCGAGCGUUGCUCGGAAUCACUGGGCGUAAAGCGAACGCAGGCGGACUGUUAAGUCGAAUGUGAAAGCCCGGGGCUCAACCCCGGAAGUGCAUUCGAAACUGGCAGUCUUGAGUACGGGAGAGGUGGGUGGAAUUCCUGGUGUAGAGGUGAAAUUCGUAGAUAUCAGGAGGAACACCGGUGGCGAAGGCGGCUUCCUGGAUAGAAACUGACGCUGAGGCGCGAAAGCUAGGGGAGCAAACAGG